CUUUAGUCCUUUGUGGACUAAGGUGAACAUGAGCAAGGGGUUUGCUAUUUUCACACAUGGUUUAUCUGUCCUCUUACUGGUAGCAGAUUACACUCGAGUUUUCACAACAGACACUCUUGUCCCUAUCUCCUUGCGCAUGAACAUUUACAAGAUUCUGGAGCAGAAGCGCUCAAACCUUUAAAACCCUAUUUUACAUCAUAACCUUUCUCACCUACAUGUGUGUGUGUGCUCAGUGGCCUUUGCAGCCUUAUGGACUACAGCCCGCCAGGCUCCUCUGUCCAUGGAAUUUUCCUGCCAAGAAUACUAGAGUGGAUUGCCAUGCCCCCCUCCAGGGGAUCUUCUCAAUCCAGGAAUCUAACCCAUGUCUCCUGUGUUUUCUGCAUUGCAGGGGUAUUCUUUACCCACUGGGCCACUCAGACCUCACCUACACACCCUACACACACCCUUAAAAGCACUUACCACCCCCCGUUUUAGGCGUAAGGUCAGGUUCCCGAACAGCAGAGCUUGAGUUUGAGACAGUAUCGCUGGUGUGAGAAAGACAAGAGAGGGGAUGAAGAAGCUUAGGAAAGAUGCAGUUUCUGCUAAAAAACCAGCCUCCGUUUAGGGAGAAGGCAAUGGCACCCCACUCCAGAACUCUUGCCUGGAGAAUCCCAUGGACGGAGGAGCCUGGUGGGCUGCAGUCCAUGGGGUCGCGAAGAGUCAGACACGACUGAGCGACUUCCCUUUCACUUUUCACUUUCAUGCAUUGGAGAAGGAAAUGGCAACCCACUCCUGCGUUCUUGCCUGGAGAAUCCCAGGGACAGGGGAGCCUGGUGGGUUGCCAUCUAUGGGGUCACACAGAGUCGGACACGACUGAAGUGACUUAGCAGCAGCAGCCUCCGUUUAACCCAACAUAAAAACCUGAGCUACAAAUGGCACCACAAGUUUGCCUAACCGUGCCGGGGGCGAGUCUGGCUUUUAUACCCCUCAUGCGUCAGCCAUUGGCUGCUGGCCACCUGGGGGCGUGGGGAUGGGGCGGGGCAACUGUCCAGACUUCUCCAGGUAAAGAGGCUCCUCUCCGCUUACUGGCAAGUCGCGGUAAGAGUGCAGGUGUGAGCAGUUAGCAGCUAAUAGAGCAGGCAAUCACAUCACCUAUAAAUAACAAGAGGUUUGAGGUUUCCUUCUCAAGUUUGAUGCUUCUCAUUUUAAUUCUUUAUUAGUGCAGUUCAGUCGCUCAGUCAUAUCCGACUCUUUGCGACCCCAUGAAUUGCAGCACGCCAAGCCUCCCUGUCCAUCACCAACUCCUGGAGUUCACCCAAACCCAUGUCCAGCAACCUUUAGCUAUGUAAUAAUUCUGUCUCCCUGUCAAACAUUACAAGAUCUAUUAGCCUGCUUCCUACUACCAAGGAACGAUGCCUCCACCCCAUCUUUUUAUUGAGUUCACAGCUUCUAUUGUACUUUUAAAAAUUCAAAAUAAAUAGUGAUUUUUAUGUGUGCAUGUUUGUGUGUGUGCUGUUUUGUUUCUUCCUUCUGGGUUCAUUUUUCUUCUUGAGGUAAAUCAUUUAAUAGUCCCCGUUGUGAGGAUCAGUAAGUGGUAAAUACUCCAAGUUUCUGAAUGGUGAAAAUGACUUCUUUUUUGUCUUACAACUGAAAGGU
This is a long non-coding RNA of Bos taurus (domestic cattle), 1635 nucleotides long. Lineage: Eukaryota; Metazoa; Chordata; Mammalia; Artiodactyla; Bovidae. The record is from Ensembl.